AGAACGAACGCUGGCGGCAUGCCUAACACAUGCAAGUCGAACGAGACCUUCGGGUCUAGUGGCGCACGGGUGCGUAACGCGUGGGAACCUGCCUUUAGGUUCGGAAUAACUCCCCGAAAGGGGUGCUAAUACCGGAUAAUGUCUUCGGACCAAAGAUUUAUCGCCUUUAGAUGGGCCCGCGUAGGAUUAGCUAGUUGGUGGGGUAAAGGCCUACCAAGGCGACGAUCCUUAGCUGGUCUGAGAGGAUGAUCAGCCACACUGGGACUGAGACACGGCCCAGACUCCUACGGGAGGCAGCAGUGGGGAAUAUUGGACAAUGGGCGAAAGCCUGAUCCAGCAAUGCCGCGUGAGUGAUGAAGGCCUUAGGGUGUAAAGCUCUUUUACCAGGAUGAUAAUGACAGUACCUGGAGAAUAAGCUCCGGCUAACUCCGCGCCAGCAGCCGC
RNAcentral lists this ribosomal RNA (444 nucleotides) under uncultured soil bacterium. RNAcentral's name for it is "bacterial SSU rRNA". It matches the Rfam family "Bacterial small subunit ribosomal RNA", at positions 26 to 518 of the family's 1533-position model. The record is from RNAcentral.